AGCGGGAGGAAAAGGAAAAUUAACCAAGGGAUUUCCCUUUAGUAAACUUGCGGAGUGAAAGUGGGGAAAAAGCUUCAAAAUUUUAAAAUCUGGCCAGUUCAUUUGGGCUUGUCCGGAGUUGUUAUUCUAGAGAAAGUGUUGCCCCGUGCUGGGACCCAUGUACCAAGUUCUUCCUGGAAAUGGGAGCAUCCACAGAGGGGUGAGAAUUCCCUGUCUUUUGAACAUGGACUACCCAGUGCUUUUUGUGGGUAUGCUUCUCAAAGGAGUCGGAGUUGUUUGGGGAAUGCAGCUCAAAAAUGGGUGGUAAAUGCCAUCUAAAGCUAAAUAUUGGCGAGAGACCGAUAGUGAACAAGUACCGUGAGGGAAGGAUGAAAAGAACUUUGGAAAGAGAGUUAACCAGUACGUGAAAUUGCUGAAAGGGAAACGCUUGAAGUCAGUCACAUUGACUUGAAUUCAGUUCUGCUUUUGCUGGGUGUACUUUCUUGUCAAUGGGUCAGCAUCAAUUUUGAUCAUUGGAUAAAGUCAUUGGGAAUGUAGCAUCUUUAGAUGUGUUAUAGCCUGGUGAUGCAUACAGUGGUUGGGAUUGAGGAACUCAGCACGCCACCAGGCCGGGUUUCGACCACGUUCGUGCUUAGGAUGCUGGCAUAAUGGCUUUAAUUGACCCGUCUUGAAACACGGACCAAGGAGUUUAACAUUUCUGCAAGUGUUUGGGUGGAAAACCCAUGUGCAUAAUGAAAGUGAAAGUUGAGAUCCCUUCUCAAGGGGGGGGAGCAUCGACGGCCCGGACCAGACCUUUUGUGACGGAUCCGCGGUAGAGCAUGUAUGUUGGGACCCGAAAGAUGGUGAACUAUGCCUGAAUAGGGUGAAGCCAGAGGAAACUCUGGUGGAGGCUCGUAGCGAUUCUUACGUGCAAAUCGAUCGUCAAAUUUGGGUAUAGGGGCGAAAGACUAAUCGAACCAU
RNAcentral lists this ribosomal RNA (960 nucleotides) under Pseudosperma pamukkalense. RNAcentral's name for it is "Pseudosperma sp. OK-2022a partial large subunit ribosomal RNA". It matches the Rfam family "Eukaryotic large subunit ribosomal RNA", at positions 48 to 943 of the family's 3401-position model. The record is from RNAcentral. Lineage: Eukaryota; Fungi; Basidiomycota; Agaricomycetes; Agaricales; Inocybaceae.